Molecule: long non-coding RNA, 323 nt
Organism: Dromaius novaehollandiae (emu)
Lineage: Eukaryota; Metazoa; Chordata; Aves; Casuariiformes; Dromaiidae
Exons: 3
Source: RefSeq, a predicted model, not a curated record
UCAUAAACUGUUUUGCAGACUCCUGAAGGGUGACGUGCACAGAACUGUAGCUCUCUUCUGUGUCCUUGCCCUUCACAUCUUGCUCAGACACAAGUCACUGAAUCCUUUGGACAUGUGAAUUUCUUCCAGACAUUUCAGCCUCUUUUAAACCUUUGGUUUUACAGCAGCUGUAGUGUAUUUCCCAACAGGAGCUUCACAAAGAGGUCUGUGGAGCAGCUUCCAGUAUGAACAGAGCCUGAAGACUUGAAGUCUGCGGAAGACUUUCUCCUGGCUCCAGGGGACCCAUCUCUGACCAUGGCUGCAGAACUGCUCCAGGGACUGCU